UACGUAGGGGGCUAGCGUUGUCCGGAUUUAUUGGGCGUAAAGGGCGAGUAGGUGGCCAUCUAAGUCAGACGUGAAAUCCCUCGGCUUAACCGGGGAACUGCGUCUGAUACUGGAUGGCUAGAGUUUGGGAGAGGGAUGCGGAAUUCCAGGUGUAGCGGUGAAAUGCGUAGAUAUCUGGAGGAACACCGGUGGCGAAGGCGGCGACCUGGGCCAAUACUGACGCUGAGGUGCGAAAGCGUGGGGAGCAAACAGG
RNAcentral lists this ribosomal RNA (253 nucleotides) under uncultured bacterium. Its description in RNAcentral is "partial 16S ribosomal RNA". It matches the Rfam family "Bacterial small subunit ribosomal RNA", at positions 524 to 776 of the family's 1533-position model. The record is from RNAcentral.